This 21-nucleotide microRNA is filed under the name Octopus bimaculoides (California two-spot octopus). RNAcentral's name for it is "Obi-Mir-12553_5p (mature (guide))". Lineage: Eukaryota; Metazoa; Mollusca; Cephalopoda; Octopoda; Octopodidae. The record is from RNAcentral.
UGCCCUAUAAAUGGUCCCCGU